Non-coding RNA from Xyrichtys novacula (pearly razorfish), 2479 nucleotides. NCBI's taxonomy places the organism in Eukaryota, Metazoa, Chordata, Actinopteri, Labriformes, Labridae. The record is from the annotation of a GenBank genome assembly.
GGUUGACAUUAAAAACACACUUUUCUGCAGAGCCUGAGCUCCAUCAAACUCAGACAGGCUGCAGAAACAAACGUGUGACUUUAUAACCUCCAAACCAAAACACGUCCAGAAUCAUCCCUCCAUCUUUAAAGCUUCAGUACGCAACAUUCACUCUGUUUUAGGAUCUGGAGCUCGCUCUGUUUCCUGUAUGUGAGAGAGUUUAUCCAAUCAAAGUGUUUCUUUGAGUGUUUCAGGUUCAUUUUAGACUCUGUGUGUGUGUGCGUGUGCGUGUGUGUGUGUGUGUGUGUGUGUGUCUGAUGGACGUCAGCUGGUCUAUUAAAGGAAGUUUCCGUCCUCUCUGCAGAUAUGAGAGUAAACACUGAUUAAUGUCUCUCUUCUGUUGUGUAACAGAGAGACUGAAAUAACAGCAGAGGUUUCAGGUUCAGAGUCUCUGACUUUAGAGAGUUUGAGGCUAAAGUUAAUGACAGAUCAUCGUAGAAAAGCAGAAAUAUAGAGUCUCAUUGAAAUCUUGUCGUCUUUACUGAUUGAAGAGGACUCUCAUUGGUCAGAGCUCUUUGGAUCACCUUUUUCAGGGCAUUAGGUGAAGUCAGUGAGUUUGAAGUAUUUUGAAAGAAGAAUUGAAUCUGUAUGCUAUCACACAUGUAUUUUAUCAUUAUAUACGUGUGUUAAUCAUCAUUUACUGAAAAUCACUCGGCGUGAUGAAGCAUGGCCUUGGAGAUGAGACACCUAGAUGAGCGCUGUAAUUCCACUCACAGGUUGUUUUCCCAACAGUGUGACACUGAACUGAUAAUCAGGAACCUGAUGAUGAACUGACCUGUCUUUGUUCUCCCAGAACAGACCACAGCUAGAACCUGGACCCUGUUUGGAAACUGUUGUAAUGUCAUGUCACUUGUGAGGUGAUGUUAGCGGGCGGGGGUGUCUGUUUCUUGACGGCAUGAAGGAUGUGUAAAAAUCUGGAUUCCUGCCUCUGUUGUAAGUAAAAGAUAUCGAAGAAAAAGAAGACCACUCUCUCUGUCGUUCUUCUCCGGCUGCAAGUCAGAUGCAGAAUUAAUUUUUCAGACAUAUUUCAAUAAAAAACAGACGAUCUUCAGCUUCUACACACCCAACCAGAACUUUCACUGCACUGGUCCAGCUUUCCUGUUUUUAGCACUUUGACUCCACCUGCUUUAAUAAAAAGUUUGUGUUUGGAUCCUCAGUUAGAGCAGGUCUGAUCUCAGACAGCUCCAAGCCCAGGUUUAGACUCAGGUUUAGGUUCCUCAGGUUUAGGUUCAGGUUUAGGUUCAGGUGACUUCAUUUAUACCUGAAGGUAGAUGUCUGUCAUCUAUUUAAAGUUACUAAGCUGCCCCGCAGACCCCCCGAGAAAUUUUCUGAGAGAAAGGAGCUCGUAUUUUGUGUCCUCCUCUGCUGCAGUGAGGCCCUUCUGCGCCCCCUGGUGGUGACACAGUAAAAGACUCCGACCUGUCCACCUCCUCCUCUCUGGUUAGUUUCUCUCCUCCUCCUCCUCCUCCCUGGGUUAGUUCCUCCUCCUCCUCCUCCUCUCCAGGUUAGUUUCUCUCCUGCUCAGUGGGCGGACGGCGUUUUAAUGUGAGUCAGAGUGACGCUGAUAAACUAACCUUUCAGUCCUCCCACAUGAAAAAUAUGACAAACAUGUCUGAGCUCCACGGGGGGGAAAAUCUGUCCCUCUAACUUCCCUCUCAGAGUCUCACUGACCUGAUCACCUCUGUGCUGAGUUCAGGCUCUGCAGGACAAACUCUCAAACUCUCUCUGCCUGAUUUAUUAUGAAAAAUCAGACGUUUUUUAAUCUUGUUUUCCAGAUUUUAUCUUUAUGUUUUAGUAUCUGGAUGAUAAAUCCUCACAGUCAGUUAAUAAGAUGUAAAUGUUGAGUUUUAUCUCACCUUCUGAAACUUUAUUUAAUUUUCAAACUCCAACAUUUGUGUCUCAAAAGUUCACAAAGUCUCUAUUGAUCCGCUUUUCUGAACAAUAUUCUUAAAAUAUAAUUUUUUGUGUCAAAAGAUCACUCAAAAUAAGUCUGAAAGUAACAGUAAUUACAGGUUUAUAAGCGUUAUAAUAAAAAAUAUGUAAAAAAAAAAAUGUUAUUAUUAUUAUUAUUGUUAUUAUUAUAUUAUUAUUAUUAUCAUCAUCAUCAUCAUCAUCAUCAUCAUCAUCAUUAUUAUUUGUAUAAUCAUUAUUAUUGUUAUUAUAUUAUUUCUAUUAAUAAAAUUGUUAGAUUCUAAAUUAUUAUUAUUAUAAUCAUCAUCAUCAUCACUAUCAUUAUUAUUGUUAUUAUUAUUAUUAUUAAUUUUAAAAUUAUUAUUGUCAUUAUCAUUAUUAUGAUUAUAUCAUCACUAUCCUUAUUAUUAUUAUUAUUAUUAUUAUUAUCAUCAUCAUUAUUAUUAUUAUUAUUAUUUUUAUCAUUAUUAUUAUUAUAACCUUUAUCUAACCAGGUUUUUCCUGGUUACCUGACAAAGACUGUCAGCAC